RNAcentral lists this long non-coding RNA (281 nucleotides) under Lathyrus oleraceus (garden pea). RNAcentral's name for it is "Pisum sativum (pea) long non-coding RNA (PSAT_LNC017657)". The record is from RNAcentral. Lineage: Eukaryota; Viridiplantae; Streptophyta; Magnoliopsida; Fabales; Fabaceae.
AAACGUAAUACAGCGACAAUUAAACUCGGAUAUCGUCUCAAGGAUUCUUGUUUGUAAUAAUUAAACGUAAUCGAAUGGGGGGGUUGAUUUGGUGUUCAAUUAUUAAAACGUAAUACAGCGACAAUUAAACUCGGAUAUCGUCUCAAGGAUUCUUGUUUGUAAUAAUUAAACGUAAUCGAAUGGGGGGGUUGAUUUGGUGUUCAAUUAUUAAAAUGCAGAAAAUAAGUGAUUAAUGAAAGUGAUUAUUUGAAUAAGCUGAAACGAAUCAACCCACUAUAUCA